AUCACUGUAAUAUUUAUAUGUCAUUGAAAUGUAUUAUUAUUAUGCAUGAUUUAGGCACCUAUGUCAUCAGGAAGGUACCAGAAAAACGGACCUCGAUGUUUUCUGUGUUAGAGUUAUUUUACAGCAUGAAUGCCGUGGAUGUAAGAGCUGUGAUAAAUAAAGUUCCCUUGCAUACUUAAAAAAAAGUCUUGCCAUCAUUUAAUUUUUCACUAUUUGUGAAAACAAGACAUGGUAUCAGAAUAGAGGACAGUCAUGGAUUUUGCUGGAGUUCCCUCGCCACAAAUUGACUGGGAUUCUCUUAACCUGCCUGGAGAAUAGAAAAAGUUCCGACAGCACGUGGAGCUGAUGUUUUCUGGCCCGUUUAGAAGCAAAGACGAGAGUGAGAAAUGCAGCCAACUGCUCCUGUGGACUGGGGGAAAAGGAAGAGACAUUUUCAACACAUGAACUCACACCCAGGAAGAAGCCAAGGUGCUGAAAACUUAUUAUGACCGCUUUGAGGCAUAUGUCAUGCCUAAGACGAAUACAAUAUUCGCGAGAUACAAGUUUAAUGAGAAGACGCAGGGGAUAAACGAGACUUUUGAUCACUUUGUAACGGAGUUAAAAUUGCUGGUGAAGGACUGUGCAUAUACAAACCAAGAUGAGAUGGUCAGGGAUAGAAUAGUGUUUGGCACAAACUCAGCGAAAGUGCGAGAGAAACUUUUAAGUGCCGGGUCUGAGCUAACAUUAAAUAAAGCCGUGGACAUUGCAAGAUUGCACGAGAUAGCACAAGCACAGCUGAGAACCUUCGAUGCAGGCACUCUGAGUGGCUCACGUGAACUAACUGUGAACGCAGUACGCAGACAACAAGCAAGAGCUCCAAAGAGCGCUGCACAAAAAACGCAUUACACAAUUGAGAAGGCAGCAAAAGAAUAUGAAGCGAGUGACGCAUACAAGCAUACUCAGCAGUGCAGCUACUG
Molecule: long non-coding RNA, 956 nt
Organism: Erpetoichthys calabaricus (reedfish)
Lineage: Eukaryota; Metazoa; Chordata; Cladistia; Polypteriformes; Polypteridae
Exons: 2
Source: RefSeq, a predicted model, not a curated record